GAACCACAAUCCGUCAAACCCUCCGCAGUCGAAGAACUACAACCCCUCCGCCGUUGUUCUUUGCUUUUCCAAGGUAUGGAAUAACUUCAUCUCUCUACCGUUCCAAUGUAUUGAUUGAUUGCAUGUUGUUUCUCUUUAGCUUGCUUUUAUACUGCGUUUUCUAACUAAUGGGUCAAACAAGAGAUGAACUUGAUGACAACACAAUAAUUUUUUAGUUAACCUUUGUGAAGUUCAAUUUGCAAUUUGUGGCAUAUAGCGAGG
Molecule: long non-coding RNA, 261 nt
Filed under: Trifolium pratense (red clover)
Lineage: Eukaryota; Viridiplantae; Streptophyta; Magnoliopsida; Fabales; Fabaceae
Description: long non-coding RNA (TPRA_LNC006658)
Source: RNAcentral